GCAUCCAUCCAAUGCACAAACACUCUUGUGCAAAGCCCGUUGUGCAAACACUCCUCGCACACUUUCACGCAUCCAUGUUUGAGCAGCACUGUGCAAAAGAGCACACCUGUGUGCAAGUAACUCUUUACACACUCACACACACCCAUCAGCACACAAACGCUUGUGCAAAAACCCACGUGCUACCCCCUGUGCACACUUUCACACAGCCAACACAGAGGUGUGCAAAUCCCCGCACCCACGUGCGAAGAACCUCUUGCACACCCAUCCACACACACAAUGCAACCCCACACUUUGCACUCUCACGUGCAAACUGUCCUGCAAUCGUGCACGCUCAUGUGCAAAUCCCAAAAAUCACACGCGCGGUCAUGCAAACACAGCCUUGCACACUCACGUGCCCAGCAUCCCCGUGCAAACGCAUUAGUGCAAGCAUUGCUCACAGCCAUCCAUCCGCAUGCACACUGUCUUGCAAUGCCCUUGUGUAAACUGCCCCCUUGCACACUUACACGCUGCCAACAGCACACACAUACGUGUGCAAAUCCCUAAGCCUCGUACAAACUCCCCUUUGCACACUCUCGUGUGUAACCCUCUUGUGCAAACCAUUUGCCCACCCAAGUGUGCAAGCCCAACCUUGCACCAACACACCUCAAUCUGCACCCAUCUGCCACCUCCCCUUUGCACACUUAAUUAUUGCACGCCCCAUUUGCGUGCGGAUGUGAGCAACCCAUCCUUGCACACCUCCCCCAACACCUUGCACACUGACAUGCGUGCAAAUGCAUGCACAACUGCUUGCCCACGUGCAGCUCAUCCCCAUGCAUUCUGUGCACUGAGCUUCCUUGCACACCUGCAUCCACAAAUCCACGUACGUGUGCAACAGCUGAGAGUGCAAAACAAACCACACAGCCCCAAUAUUAUCCUUGCACACUCAUCGCAACAGCCUCCCUUGUGUAAGCGGCCCUUCACACCCAUGUGCCAAACACCCCCCACGUGCAAAUGCACUCUUGCACACGCAGUCUUGUGCAAAAUCCAGCUGGAAAGCCGCCUUCCGCUCUACUUCUUGCACAUCUACUGGCACGCACACCCACACCACUUUUGCACACCCUUGUGCCUAUGCAGCCAUCCACUCACGUGUCUUUUGCACACUCACUUGAACACACUCAUGCUCACACACAUUCAUUUGCACCUUUGUCCUUGCACACUCAUUUGCAAUACAACCAUUGCGUGCACACGCCUGCUCUUGUGCAAGCUGCCCCCUUUCACACCCAUGUUCAAAACCCAGUGCAUUCCCACCCACGUGCAAAGGCUCCCUUGCACAGCCACUUGCAACACACUUGUGCAAAAUCCAUACUUUUGCAUGCUCUUGUCGACAGGUCUACACACUCGUGUGCACCUCUCCUAACACGAAUCUUGCACAAUCCUUGCACACACACCCACAUUCCAUUGCACACCCACCUGCAACGUGCACACCCAUUGGCCUGCUUGUGCAAAUCCAUGCACGUUUGCACACUGUCGCACACGUGUGCAACCCCAUCGCACCCCCGCAUGCAAACUCCUUGCAGCGCUCAUUCGCGUGUGUACAGGCGUGCAACACGAGCCUUUCACACACCCACACUGAUGUACAAGUGUGCAAACCUUUGCACACUCAGAACUCAAUCCCUGCACACUUUCAAAACCCUUUUCACACCCAUUUUCACAAGCAUGUACUUCCCCCAACAAACAAGAACCUCCCUUUGCACACCCAACCCACAUAAGUGUGCAAAAGCCCCCAUCCACUUGCAAAUACCUCCUUGCACUUGUGCACAUUUACACACUCUCCUGCAUGCACGCACACCACCACCCCCCUUUUGCACACCCAGCUGCACACAAGCACAGGGAUCCCAUCCAUGUGCACUCACGAGCACAUGCAGCCCCAACCCCUUGCGCCCUCUUGUGCAAAACCUUUGCACACCUCACCGCAUCCCAGCCUGGUGCACACGCACAGCUGUGCACAAUCCCCCCUUUACACACCUAUUCACACACAGAGACACGUACAAAACCACCCUUGCGCUCCCAGUCUGCACCCACAAAAGAGUGUGCAAGCAUGUAACCUUGCACAAGCACGUAUGUGCAAACUGCGUGCUCACACACACACUUGUGCAACAGCACGCUUUGCACACUCAUGAGCAAGCCCAUCUUUGCUACUACCUCCCCACGUACGUGCAGCCACCCCUUUGCACACUCGUGUGCAACCUCAUGUGCAACCGCAUAUCUUUGCACAACCACGCACACUUGCACUUCAGGCCCCCCACCCUCACUCUCCCAGUCUUUCCUUUGCACAAUCACAUUUGCAACACAGUUGUGCACACUCACCAAGCGUGCAAAGCCCCCCACUGCACACCCAGCCGCUCACACACUCGUUUAGUGCCAUCCCUGCACAACCACAUGUGUGCAAAUCCUUUCACUGCACACCCACGUGCAUUCACACACACACACACCCCAUCCUUGCACUCCUAAUGGGCAGCAUAAGCGUGCAAGCCCACCCCAUUGCACACCCAGUUGCUCACGCACAGCGGUGCAUCCCAUCCUUACCCACAUCCAAAUGCGCAAACAAGUGUGCAAAUCAUUGCACACCUGUGGCCACACGUGCGAGUGCAAACCAAUACGUGCAUCCCCACGUUUGCACGCCAAACGUGCACAAGCGUGUAAGCCCCCCCAUUGCACACUCAGCUGCUCGCACACUCAUGUAUUCCCAUCCUGGGACAACUCCACGUGUGCAAAUACCUCCCGUUGCACACCUGUGGGGACACAGACAAGAGUGCCACACCCUCGUGCACACACCCACGUGUGCAAAUCCCCACAUGGCACCCCCUUGCGCACACACACACUUGUGCAUCCCCAUCCUUGCACUCAAUUCACACAUGAAAAUCCCCAAUUGCACACCUAUGGACACACACACAAGUGUAACACCAUCGUGCACACGCAACCAAGUGUGCAAGUCUGUCCCCCCUUCGCACACCCAGCUCCUCACACACUUGUACAUCCCCAUCCCUUGACACACCCACGCGUGCAAACACCCCCCAUGUGCAGAGCUCUCCUUACACACCUGUGGAAACACACACGAAAGUACAACACCCUCGUGCACACUUCCCCCAUUUGCACACUCACUCCACAUGUUCUUAACCCUAUUUGCACACGCAAGCCCUCUCGUGCAUCCCCAACCUUUGCACACCCACCCCACACGUGUGCACCAGCUCCUACAUUUGCACACCCACCACCAUGUUCACAACCCCCCUUUCAUUUGCACACCUAGUCCCCAACAACUGUGCAACCCCCCCCAAUUUACACACCCA
Molecule: long non-coding RNA, 3326 nt
Filed under: Phasianus colchicus (ring-necked pheasant)
Lineage: Eukaryota; Metazoa; Chordata; Aves; Galliformes; Phasianidae
Description: lncRNA (ENSPCLG00000017017.1)
Source: RNAcentral